AUGGCCAGAGCGCGGGGAGUAAUUGCCGCGGUCUCCGCGGCGACUGGCCGACUUCGCCAGACUGAUCCUCGCGCCCCUCCUGGUCUCGGGGAGCGGCACUUCGCCCGCAGGCCGCGGAGCAAGAGCCUCAGCUCUGCUGAGCCCCUCUCUGGGGCGUGCUCAAGUCCUGAACUUUUAGCCGGACCUGGCAAAUGGCAUGCCGGGCUUCGGAUUUGAAGCCAGACCUAGAGCACGAAGGGAAUUCCGAAUUCUUGGGCAAAAGAGAUGACGGGGUGGUUGCUAUGACGACUCCAGGAUCUGCCUUCAUCCCUCAAUGAGCAGGGGGAGGCGGACACUGUGGAAGGCACUUUCCUCUGGAGAUUUCAGAUGUUCACGU
Molecule: long non-coding RNA, 376 nt
Filed under: Lepisosteus oculatus (spotted gar)
Lineage: Eukaryota; Metazoa; Chordata; Actinopteri; Semionotiformes; Lepisosteidae
Description: lncRNA (ENSLOCG00000021424.1)
Source: RNAcentral